RNAcentral lists this ribosomal RNA (496 nucleotides) under uncultured bacterium. RNAcentral's name for it is "partial 16S ribosomal RNA". It matches the Rfam family "Bacterial small subunit ribosomal RNA", at positions 28 to 507 of the family's 1533-position model. The record is from RNAcentral.
GAUGAACGCUGGCGGCGUGCCUAAUACAUGCAAGUCGAGCGAACAGAUAAGGAGCUUGCUCCUUUGACGUUAGCGGCGGACGGGUGAGUAACACGUGGGUAACCUACCUAUAAGACUGGAAUAACUCCGGGAAACCGGGGCUAAUGCCGGAUAACAUUUAGAACCGCAUGGUUCUAAAGUGAAAGAUGGUUUUGCUAUCACUUAUAGAUGGACCCGCGCCGUAUGAGCUAGUUGGUAAGGUAACGGCUUACCAAGGCAACGAUACGUAGCCGACCUGAGAGGGGGAUCGGCAAACCUGAAACUGAGCAACGGUCCAGACCCCUAGGGGAGGCAGCAGUAGGAAAUCUGCCGAAAGGGGCGAAAGCCUGACGGAGCAACGCGGCGUGGGUGAGGAAGGCCUUCGGAUCGUAAAACGCUGUUAUUAGGGAAGAACAAAUGUGUAAGUAACGGUGCACGUCUUGACGGUACCAAUCAGAAAGCCACGGCUAACUACGUG